GACGAACGCUGGCGGCGUGCCUAAUACAUGCAAGUUGAGCGCUGAAGGUUGGUACUUGUACCAACUGGAUGAGCAGCGAACGGGUGAGUAACGCGUGGGGAAUCUGCUUUUGAGCGGGGGACAACAUUUGGAAACGAAUGCUAAUACCGCAUAAAAACUUUAAACACAAGUUUUAAGUUUGAAAGAUGCAAUUGCAUCACUCAAAGAUGAUCCCGCGUUGUAUUAGCUAGUUGGUGAGGUAAAGGCUCACCAAGGCGAUGAUACAUAGCCGACCUGAGAGGGUGAUCGGCCACAUUGGGACUGAGACACGGCCCAAACUCCUACGGGAGGCAGCAGUAGGGAAUCUUCGGCAAUGGACGAAAGUCUGACCGAGCAACGCCGCGUGAGUGAAGAAGGUUUUCGGAUCGUAAAACUCUGUUGGUAGAGAAGAACGUUGGUGAGAGUGGAAAGCUCAUCAAGUGACGG
RNAcentral lists this ribosomal RNA (465 nucleotides) under Lactococcus lactis. Its description in RNAcentral is "bacterial SSU rRNA". It matches the Rfam family "Bacterial small subunit ribosomal RNA", at positions 28 to 475 of the family's 1533-position model. The record is from RNAcentral. Lineage: Bacteria; Bacillati; Bacillota; Bacilli; Lactobacillales; Streptococcaceae.